This 233-nucleotide ribosomal RNA is filed under the name Acinetobacter pittii. Its description in RNAcentral is "partial 23S ribosomal RNA". It matches the Rfam family "Bacterial large subunit ribosomal RNA", at positions 2715 to 2925 of the family's 2925-position model. Lineage: Bacteria; Pseudomonadati; Pseudomonadota; Gammaproteobacteria; Moraxellales; Moraxellaceae. The record is from RNAcentral.
UACCGGUUGUGACGCCAGUCGCAUCGCCGGGUAGCUAUGUUCGGAAGGGAUAACCGCUGAAAGCAUCUAAGCGGGAAGCCUACCUCAAGAUAAGAUUUCCCUAGGAAUUUAUUCCUCUAAAGAGCCGUUCGAGACUAGGACGUUGAUAGGUUGGAUGUGGAAGCAUAGUGAUAUGUGAAGCUGACCAAUACUAAUUGCUCGUGAGGCUUGACUAUACAACACCCAAGCAGUUG